ACUAGUCCUCUCUUUUUUUUUUUUGUUCAAUUUUUUAAUAAUACUUUUUUUUUCAGAGAGAAAGGUAGCAUGCUAUCCACUUUUAGAUAGAAAUGUGAAUCGACUAGGAUUCGAAUUUAGAAUUUUGGAUAUCAACCAUCAAACUUUUUGUCACUUACGCUAUAGGAUAGUCGUUAAUUUUUUUAAACGAUACCAAUCGAGGAAGGAUUGAAUCAAUUCUAGGACGGAGGUUUAUAUG
RNAcentral lists this long non-coding RNA (238 nucleotides) under Ananas comosus (pineapple). RNAcentral describes it as "long non-coding RNA (ACOM_LNC005697)". Lineage: Eukaryota; Viridiplantae; Streptophyta; Magnoliopsida; Poales; Bromeliaceae. The record is from RNAcentral.